Molecule: transfer RNA, 76 nt
Filed under: Chloroflexota bacterium
Lineage: Bacteria; Bacillati; Chloroflexota
Description: tRNA-Thr
Rfam family: tRNA
About the family: Transfer RNA (tRNA) molecules are approximately 80 nucleotides in length. Their secondary structure includes four short double-helical elements and three loops (D, anti-codon, and T loops).
Source: RNAcentral
GCCAACGUAGCUCAGGCGGCAGAGCAGCUGUUUCGUAAACAGCAGGUCGGCGGUUCGAGUCCGCCCGUUGGCUCCG